RNAcentral lists this ribosomal RNA (528 nucleotides) under uncultured bacterium. Its description in RNAcentral is "bacterial SSU rRNA". It matches the Rfam family "Bacterial small subunit ribosomal RNA", at positions 355 to 896 of the family's 1533-position model. The record is from RNAcentral.
UGGGGAAUAUUGGGCAAUGGGGGAAACCCUGACCCAGCAACGCCGCGUGAGGGAAGAAGGCUUUCGGGUUGUAAACCUCUGUCGCAGGGGAAGAAACAAAUGACGGUACCCUGUGAGGAAGCCCCGGCUAACUACGUGCCAGCAGCCGCGGUAAUACGUAGGGGGCGAGCGUUGUCCGGAAUUACUGGGCGUAAAGGGUGCAUAGGUGGCAAUUUAAGUUGGAUGUGAAAUCCCCGGGCUUAACCUGGGUGGUGCAUUCAAAACUGGAUAGCUAGAGUGCAGGAGAGGGAAGCGGAAUUCCUAGUGUAGCGGUGAAAUGCGUAGAUAUUAGGAGGAACACCAGUGGCGAAGGCGGCUUUCUGGACUGUAACUGACACUGAGGCACGAAAGCGUGGGGAGCAAACAGGAUUAGAUACCCUGGUAGUCCACGCUGUAAACGAUGAAUACUAGGUGUAGGGGGUAUGAACUCCCCCUGUGCCGCAGCUAACGCAAUAAGUAUUCCGCCUGGGGAGUACGGCCGCAAGGUUG